RNAcentral lists this ribosomal RNA (252 nucleotides) under uncultured bacterium. Its description in RNAcentral is "partial 16S ribosomal RNA". It matches the Rfam family "Bacterial small subunit ribosomal RNA", at positions 524 to 776 of the family's 1533-position model. The record is from RNAcentral.
GACGGGGGGGCAAGCGUUAAUCGGAAUUACUGGGCGUAAAGCGCACGCAGGCGGUCAAUUAAGUCAGAUGUGAAAGCCCCGAGCUUAACUCGGGAAUUGCAUCUGAAACUGGUUGGCUAGAGUCUUGUAGAGGGGGGUAGAAUUCCAUGUGUAGCGGUGAAAUGCGUAGAGAUCUGGAGGAAUACCGGUGGCGAAGGCGGCCCCCUGGACGAAGACUGACGCUCAGGUGCGAAAGCGUGGGGAGCAAACAGG